Long non-coding RNA from Elaeis guineensis (African oil palm), 607 nucleotides. RefSeq lists it as uncharacterized. Lineage: Eukaryota; Viridiplantae; Streptophyta; Magnoliopsida; Arecales; Arecaceae. The record is from RefSeq and is a predicted model, not a curated record.
ACCCCCAGUUGUAGACGGGAAUCUGGACGCCAGGCUCCUCUACCCCGCCCCCCCUCUCUCUCUCGCCCAUUUCGGAGGCAUCGUGCCUAACCCCUCCCCUCUCCAACUCCAAACCGGGCUGAGGCAACUUAGACUCGAGGUUCCUGUACACCAAGAAUAAGGAAUGAGGAUACAAAUGCCCUUUUCUUUUCUAAGGCUACCCACCCGCAUGCAGUUACCCCAGCUUCUUAGAGAGCUGGAGCAAGACAUGGAAACUGUAAUCAAUGUACUGAAACCUGGGCCAUUAGGAAUCAUCGAACACAAGUUCUCUGCUGCUGAGGUACAGGAGGCGAAGGCCACGGUCAGGAGAGCGGUUGAGAACUGGCAAAGGAAUUCUGCCCUGGAAAGAAACGGCCGUACUCUGAAGCAUUCAGAAAAUAAAAUGACACAGCCAUGAGUUGUGAAUGUCUGAAUAAAUGGGUUAAUUUUCACAAAAUUCUAUGACAUCAACGUAGCCAGUGUCUACGACUUUAUCUUCCUUUCACUAGUUGAUGAUAUAACUGGAAUUGCUCUGUUGAAUAACUUUCUUUCUUCCAUCAUAAAAAGAUUUGGUGCUUUUAAAAUGGCA